GGACGGGCCCGCCCGGCCCUUCCUCUUAACUCCUUCGGGCCCGGCCGGGCGGCGGCAGCGGCGACCUCCGGUUUCCCCCGCGGUGGCCGCCCGGGGAGAUACAAUCAUCUCAUUAAGUUUGAGUAGCAAGUAUUUAACCUCAAAUGAAGCCGCCUGCCUGCAGUGGAACAGAUGUAUGGUGUAAAAGAAUCUCCGUUUCCCAAUCAAGAUGAACAGAAUGGCUUUCUUCAACAAGAAAAUAGAACAUCCAUUUUUUAGGAUUAUAUCUACAACAUGAAUCAUUUAGCAGUAGCUGUCUUUGAGAACAUUCAUAUAUGACCUGAAAUGUCC
Non-coding RNA from Agelaius phoeniceus (red-winged blackbird), 330 nucleotides. The record is from RefSeq and is a predicted model, not a curated record. NCBI's taxonomy places the organism in Eukaryota, Metazoa, Chordata, Aves, Passeriformes, Icteridae.